AACUUGAAACAGAAUGUGUAUUAUCCUUGGUUGUGUUUCCUUGGCCCUGCAGCAGGAUGAAGCUCUCCACUGGCAUCAUUUUCUGCUCCCUGGUCCUGGGUGUCAGCAGCCAAGGAUGGUUAACAUUCCUCAAGGCAGCUGGCCAAGGGACUAAAGACAUGUGGAAAGCCUACUCUGACAUGAAAGAAGCCAAUUACAAAAAAUUCAGACAAAUACUUCCAUGCUUGGGGGAACUAUGAUGCUGUACAAAGGGGGCUUGGGGCUGUCUGGGCUACAGAAGUGAUCAGGUAAUGCACAUUCCUGAUGUUGCCAGGAAUGAGUGAGCAGAGCUUGACUGCCUUGGACAGUCAGGAGAGAGCGAUGCCAGAGAGAACGUCCAGAGACUCACAGGAGACCAUGCAGAGGAUUCGCUGGCUGGCCAGGCUACCAACAAAUGGGGCCAGAGUGGCAAAGACCCCAAUCACUUCCGACCUGCUGGCCUGCCAGAGAAAUACUGAGCUUCCUUUUCAAUCUGCUCUCAGGAGACCUGGCUGUGAGCCCCUGAGGGCAGGGACAUUUGUUGACCUACAGUUACUGAAUUCUAUAUCCCUAGUACUUGAUAUAGAACACAUAAAAAUGCUUAAUAAAUGCUUGUGAAAUCCA
Long non-coding RNA from Homo sapiens (human), 642 nucleotides. Ensembl annotates it as serum amyloid A3, pseudogene. Its record names the gene SAA3P. Lineage: Eukaryota; Metazoa; Chordata; Mammalia; Primates; Hominidae. The record is from Ensembl.